RNAcentral lists this transfer RNA (56 nucleotides) under Micromonas pusilla. Its description in RNAcentral is "partial tRNA". RNAcentral also lists the same sequence under 1 other name. Lineage: Eukaryota; Viridiplantae; Chlorophyta; Mamiellophyceae; Mamiellales; Mamiellaceae. The record is from RNAcentral.
UUGGUCGGUAACCUGUCCAACUCGGAAUCCGACGGCGAGGGUUCGAUUCCGGUAAA